RNAcentral lists this ribosomal RNA (485 nucleotides) under uncultured bacterium. RNAcentral describes it as "bacterial SSU rRNA". It matches the Rfam family "Bacterial small subunit ribosomal RNA", at positions 28 to 507 of the family's 1533-position model. The record is from RNAcentral.
GAUGAACGCUAGCGGCAGGCUUAACACAUGCAAGUCGAGGGGCAGCAUGAAGGUUAGCAAUAACUUUGAUGGCGACCGGCGCAAGGGUGCGUAACGCGUGAGCAACUUGCCCGUUUCAGGGGGAUAACCGGUGGAAACGCCGACUAAUACCCCAUAGUACAAUCUUAAGGCAUCUUUGAUUGUUAAAGAAUUUCGGAAACGGAUAGGCUCGCGUGACAUUAGCUAGAUGGCGGGGUAACGGCCACCAUGGCGACGAUGUCUAGGGGUUCUGAGAGGAAGGUCCCCCACACUGGAACUGAGACACGGUCCAGACUCCUACGGGAGGCAGCAGUGAGGAAUAUUGGUCAAUGGUCGAAAGACUGAACCAGCCAUGCCGCGUGAAGGUCACGGCCCUAUGGGUCUUAAACUUCUUUUGUAAGGGAGCAAUAAGGUUCACGUGUGGACUGAUGAGAGUACCUUACGAAUAAGCAUCGGCUAACUCCGUG